GACGAACGCUGGCGGCGUGCUUAACACAUGCAAGUCGAACGAAGUGGCGAAGGGGUGAGUAAAACGUUGGUAACAUGCCCUGCUCUUUGGGAUAAGCUAUGGCAACGGGGCGUAAUCUCGAAUAGAGGGGGUUGGGGUCCCGGCCUAUAAGCUGGUUGGUGGGGUGAUGGCCUACUCAGGCGGUGAUGGUUAGCCGGCCUGAGAGGGGGAACGGCCACAUUGGGACUGAGAUACGGCCCAGACGCCGACGGGAGGCAGCAGUGGGGGAUAUUGCACAAUGGGCGAAAGCCUGAUGCAGCGACGCCGCGUGGGGGAUGAAGGCUUUCGGGUUGUAAACCUCUUUCGCGAUCGAACGGGUAGGUGGAGAAGAAGCGCCGGCUAACUACGUGCCAGCAGCCGCGGUAAUAC
RNAcentral lists this ribosomal RNA (408 nucleotides) under uncultured bacterium. RNAcentral's name for it is "partial 16S ribosomal RNA". It matches the Rfam family "Bacterial small subunit ribosomal RNA", at positions 28 to 526 of the family's 1533-position model. The record is from RNAcentral.